CUUAUGGGAAAAGAUUUAUCGGCAAAGGAUGACCCCGCCCCGGAUUAACUAGUUGGUAGGGUAAUGGCCUACCAAGGCGACGAUCCAUAGCUGGUCUGAGAGGAUGAUCAGCCACACUGGGACUGAGACACGGCCCAGACUCCUACGGGAGGCAGCAGUGGGGAAUAUUGGACAAUGGGCGCAAGCCUGAUCCAGCCAUGCCGCGUGAGUGAUGAAGGCCCUAGGGUUGUAAAGCUCUUUCACCGGUGAAGAUAAUGACGGUAACCGGAGAAAAAGCCCCGGCUAACUUCGUGCCAGCAGCCGCGGUAAUACNAAGGGGGCUAGCGUUGUUCAGAUUUACUGGGCGUAAAGCGCACGUANGCGGACUUUUAAGUCACGGGUGAAAUCCCGGGGCUCAACCCCGGAACUGCCUUUGAUACUGGAAGUCUUGAGUAUGGUACAGGUGAGUGGGAAUUCCGAGUGGAGAGGUGAAAUUCUAGAUAUUCGGAGGAACACCAGUGGUCGAAGGCGGAUCACUGGAGCAUUUACUGACGCUGAGGUGCGAAAGCGUUGGGGAGCUAAACAGGAUUAGAUACCCCUGGUGAGUUCCCCCCCGUAAACCGAUGAAUGCUAGUCCAGUCNGGGGAGGUUUACUCUUUCGGUGGCGCAGCAUAACGCAUUAAACAUACCCGCCUGGGGAGAGUACCGCCGCCAGCAUAAGAUUCCCAGGAAUUGAUCCGGGGGCGCGCCCAACCGGUGAGCAUGUUGCUUUAAUUGUAGCUAAGCCCCGAACCAUAACCAGCCCUAGCCCUACCUUUCCCGUACCAGAGAGGGUGAUUUCNUUUGCUGGAGCGUAAUCUCGGUGCUGCAUGGCU
This 854-nucleotide ribosomal RNA is filed under the name Ochrobactrum sp. RNAcentral describes it as "bacterial SSU rRNA". It matches the Rfam family "Bacterial small subunit ribosomal RNA", at positions 194 to 1050 of the family's 1533-position model. Lineage: Bacteria; Pseudomonadati; Pseudomonadota; Alphaproteobacteria; Hyphomicrobiales; Brucellaceae. The record is from RNAcentral.